This is a long non-coding RNA of Cyprinus carpio carpio, 450 nucleotides long. The record is from Ensembl. Lineage: Eukaryota; Metazoa; Chordata; Actinopteri; Cypriniformes; Cyprinidae.
AUAAUCCAGAUUUUUUUUUUUUUUUUUCUUGUAAACAGUGCUUGAUCUAUGCAUAUUUCUCUCCUGAUUAAGAUGAGAUGACCUUUUCACUGUAGAAAGCAAUGGAAACAAUGGUUUGAAGUGGAUUUGCUUCUGAUGGACCAGGAUCAUAUGCACUGCUUGUGGAUUAAUGUGAUAUUUUUCAUACUGACGGCACCCAUUCUCCAAAUCUUUUCCAAUGAAGAAACAAACUCAACUACCUUGUGGAUGGCUUUAGACUGAAAAAGACAUGAAGGAAGCAGUCAGCCCAGUCGUGUUUGUGGAGAGGUAUUCCUUCAGAAAUGGAGAAGAUAGAAAGCUGCGGAGGCAGACAUUUGCAGCAUGUUCGAGUGAGCAUGAAGACCACAAGUGUGUGUCGAACUUUUCAUGACCUGAUGGCAGUGUUUCCCAAUCCUGGUCCUGGAGAACCCC